CAGUUGUGCCUUAGCAGCAUAUAAAUAUUGGAGUUAUCAUUAGUAAAGUGUCUCCAGUAUCAGUUGUGCUGCUAAAGUAAGGCUGUUCU
This 89-nucleotide microRNA precursor is filed under the name Ophiophagus hannah (king cobra). Its description in RNAcentral is "microRNA oha-mir-16a precursor". Its record names the gene oha-mir-16a. It matches the Rfam family "mir-15 microRNA precursor family". From Rfam's summary of the family: This family represents the related mir-15a and mir-15b sequences. In humans miR-15a and miR-16 are clustered within 0.5 kb at 13q14. This region has been shown to be deleted in more than half of B cell chronic lymphocytic leukaemias (CLL). The record is from miRBase by way of RNAcentral. Lineage: Eukaryota; Metazoa; Chordata; Lepidosauria; Squamata; Elapidae.